UACGUAGGUGGCAAGCGUUGUCCGGAUUUAUUGGGCGUAAAGAGCGUGUAGGCGGCCUGGUAGGUCAGCUGUGAAAACUCGAGGCUCAACCUCGAGACGCCGGUUGAAACCAUCAGGCUAGAGUCCGGAAGAGGAGAGUGGAAUUCCCGGUGUAGCGGUGAAAUGCGCAGAUAUCGGGAAGAACACCCGUGGCUAAGGCGGCUCUCUAGUACGGUACUGACGCUGAGACGCGAAAGCGUGGGGAGCGAACAGG
Molecule: ribosomal RNA, 253 nt
Filed under: uncultured bacterium
Lineage: Bacteria
Description: partial 16S ribosomal RNA
Rfam family: Bacterial small subunit ribosomal RNA
Source: RNAcentral